RNAcentral lists this ribosomal RNA (873 nucleotides) under uncultured bacterium. Its description in RNAcentral is "bacterial SSU rRNA". It matches the Rfam family "Bacterial small subunit ribosomal RNA", at positions 60 to 933 of the family's 1533-position model. The record is from RNAcentral.
AGUCGGACGGGAUUGAGGAGCUUGCUUCUCAUGAGAGUGGCGCACGGGUGCGUAACACGUAUGUAACCUACCUUGUUCAGGGGGAUAGCCUCUCGAAAGAGAGAUUAACACCGCAUAAAAUCAAUUUAUGGCAUCAUAGAAUGAUCAAAUAUUUAUAGGAACAAGAUGGGCAUGCGGAACAUUAGCUAGUUGGUAAGGUAACGGCUUACCAAGGCUACGAUGUUUAGGGGAUCUGAGAGGAUGACCCCCCACACUGGUACUGAGACACGGACCAGACUCCUACGGGAGGCAGCAGUAAGGAAUAUUGGUCAAUGGACGCAAGUCUGAACCAGCCAUGCCGCGUGCAGGAGGACGGCCCUACGGGUUGUAAACUGCUUUUGUACCGGAAUAAACCUUUUCACGUGUGAGAAGCUGAAUGUACGGUAAGAAUAAGGAUCGGCUAACUCCGUGCCAGCAGCCGCGGUAAUACGGAGGAUCCAAGCGUUAUCCGGAUUUAUUGGGUUUAAAGGGUGCGUAGGUGGCCUAUUAAGUCAGGGGUGAAAGACGGUAGCUUAACUAUCGCAGUGCCUUUGAUACUGAUGGGCUUGAAUACACUUGAGGUAGGCGGAAUGUGACAAGUAGCGGUGAAAUGCAUAGAUAUGUCACAGAACACCAAUUGCGAAGGCAGCUUACUAAAGUGUUAUUGACACUGAGGCACGAAAGCGUGGGGAUCAAACAGGAUUAGAUACCCUGGUAGUCCACGCCCUAAACGAUGAAUACUCGAUGUUGGCGAUAUACGGUCAGCGUCUAAGCGAAAGCGUUAAGUAUUCCACCUGGGGAGUACGCCCGCAAGGGUGAAACUCAAAGGAAUUGACGGGGGCCCGCACAAGCGGA